RNAcentral lists this ribosomal RNA (125 nucleotides) under Acinetobacter baumannii. RNAcentral's name for it is "partial 16S ribosomal RNA". It matches the Rfam family "Bacterial small subunit ribosomal RNA", at positions 1 to 124 of the family's 1533-position model. The record is from RNAcentral. Lineage: Bacteria; Pseudomonadati; Pseudomonadota; Gammaproteobacteria; Moraxellales; Moraxellaceae.
UAACUGAAGAGUUUGAUCAUGGCUCAGAUUGAACGCUGGCGGCAGGCUUAACACAUGCAAGUCGAGCGGGGGAAGGUAGCUUGCUACCGGACCUAGCGGCGGACGGGUGAGUAAUGCUUAGGAAU